GUGAAAGCCUUGGGCUCAACCUAAGAAUUGCUUUUGAAACUACCAAGCUUGAGUACUGUAGGGGAUAGCGGAAUUCCUAGUGUAGGGGUGAAAUUCGUAGAUAUUAGGAGGAACACCGGAGGCGAAAGCGGUUAUCUGGACAGUUACUGACGCUGUUGCGCGAAAGCGCGUCGGUAGCUAACAGGAUUAGAUACCCUGGUAGUCCACGCAGUAAACGAUGAGUGC
Molecule: ribosomal RNA, 225 nt
Filed under: Candidatus Midichloria sp. F4
Lineage: Bacteria; Pseudomonadati; Pseudomonadota; Alphaproteobacteria; Rickettsiales; Candidatus Midichloriaceae
Description: partial 16S ribosomal RNA
Rfam family: Bacterial small subunit ribosomal RNA
Source: RNAcentral